CAGUUUUGAGUGCUUGAGCUGCACACGGUGCGCUGAGGAGCAAGGAGGGAAAAAAUGUCCGUUUCUGAGCCGUGCUGAGAGCACGAACUGCUCGGCUCGGCCGCCUCCGUGCAGCAAAAGCACUACAAAUAAUUAGAUUAGUGUUUCCCUGGCACAGGUGCUGAACCCGACACGGAGCAGCGCCAUGGAGCGGGGCGGGCAGCCGGACAGCGCGGAGCAUCGCGAGCAGUUGGUAACGUUUGGCAGCUUAACAGAGAAAAAAAUGACUGCUAGGGAAAUCUCAACCGCCGCUAAUUAGCAGCAAUGAACUGUGGAUGAAGCCUUCUCACACACCGUACCAAAGACUUUUAAAAAGCCACAAGCAUCAGCUGUAGAUGUCUACUUUGUUCCAAAGCCCCUUUUGUCCCUGGCCAUGGGGCUGUCCUGGAGCACCAUGGAUGUCCCCACACUGGCAGCAGGGCCUGAGCAGCCAUGGGAGGAUGCGCUGCUGGACAGACAUGGGCAGCACCAGCGGUGCAAGUGCAAAGGAUGAAACUGCCCUGGAGAGAGAAUGGGCUCAGCACAUGACAACGCAGACGUGGCUGUGCUCAGGAUUACCAUGCCUGGACGUGGGAGCAAGAAACCUGAACUUGCUGUGGGUUGAAAAAGUCUGAAAUUACAUUCUUGGUGAUGUAAGAGAUCUUCCGAUCCCUGGGAUUUUUCACUGAUGUCAUUACGGACACAAGUACCAUCUGUUUCCUACAUGUAGGUACGUGAGAUUCCUGCACCUUGUAAACCGGAGCUGGGUGACCAUUGGCUCUUGGAAUCUCAAGAUGUACACCCAAAAUCUUUCGUCUUUUCUUAACUUUUUCUUCCCAGUAAGAAGCAGCUGCCUCUACAAAGACUGAGGUUUCAGGGAUGCUCAAAGAUGACGCCUCAUGGGAGCGGAGACGAUGCUGUCGCCCUGCAACUCCCUCUAGGACCCCAUGGUAGUAAUUAAUAAGAAGCCAAGUUCUCAACUAGCUGUGACAAAUUGGAAAGCUGUGAAUUUGGAGAUAAGAGCGGAGGGUCACAGUUUAUUUGUAACUGGGUUAUCUAAUCGUAAUAAGCACUUACAGCAAAAAGCAUCAUAAAAGAAAAUAGUGCGGUACAAGAACCUUGGAGUAAUUGGGUUUUCCCACACAAAUAAGAUCCACGUAGCAGAAGAAUUUCCCUUUGAAGCAGCUGUUAUGAAUUUUGGGUCCACAGUUUCCAUUAGCCCCUCGUCAUUGCU
Long non-coding RNA from Gallus gallus (chicken), 1252 nucleotides. Lineage: Eukaryota; Metazoa; Chordata; Aves; Galliformes; Phasianidae. The record is from Ensembl.